AAAAUCACUUGGCCAGAAAUAAGAUACUUCAGUACUCGGGUCAGCAGCUAGCAUGGAUAAAACUAUCUCCUUCCUAUGUUUGAGAGGGCUCUGACGUUGCUUCCCAUCUGGCACACUGUAACUUGCAGAUCCGUUUGGCUUUUGCACUUGCACCAAGAUGAAAUCUUUAAUCUAACAGAAUUGAUACUGGAAGAUGUAGUCUCUGUGUGAUCUCUCGUUUUCCUUGUAGUUUUUUGUAUUUCAACACAUGAAUUCUAGCUAGUUGGUUUAACAGACCCUGACUAUGCAGUUACUCUCUGCUUUUGGCAAAGAAGUGGGCUCAUCAGCUUGUGAUGAAUUUCAUAUUAAAUAUCUGGAUCUCGUGAUGUCUUCAAGCAAAGUGUACCAAGUAGUCAGGAGAACAUGGAUACAAAUUCGAUCAAUCUGGUCUACUGAAAUUAAUUUUGCUAAUAAGAAAUUGCAGAGAGAUGCUUUCCUUUAGUCAUUAGCUUGCUUGGAAUGGAAGAAAUGCCAGACUUCCCAAUAUUCAAAGUUCCAGUACUUCUGUUUUGGUUGCUCAAAUACUCUGGUACGGAUAUAGUCCAAUCGAUUUUUUAUAAACGAAAAAGAAAAGAGAUUAACUUCAAUUCUUUGAUUUAUUUAAGAAAUAAAACCAUUACAAACCAAAUAUUAUUAUUCCUGCAUGCAUCAAAUUGUUACACUACUGUUUGUAGAUACACAAGAAGCCAUAGCUAACUUGGAGAUAAAAAGCGCACCCUAGCAAGUGUGAAUUCUUUUCCAUCUAUCCAAACACCAGUUUGUGACCAUUGCACAUCCUCCCAGUCAAGAUUCUCCUCCAAUACCU
Molecule: long non-coding RNA, 844 nt
Filed under: Populus trichocarpa (black cottonwood)
Lineage: Eukaryota; Viridiplantae; Streptophyta; Magnoliopsida; Malpighiales; Salicaceae
Description: long non-coding RNA (PTRI_LNC004336)
Source: RNAcentral